ACCAAACGCAUCUCAAGCUUGCGUUAGAGAAAGCGAUGCCCUAAUUUUCCCAAAUGCGUCUGCAUUCUGCUUCAAAAAAGAACCCAAAGUUUCAAAUAAACCCCCUGCCAUCCCAAAUGAACUCGCCAUGGGUUAGGGUAAAGGCUCGUGUGUAUGUGCACAUUGGAGACGCGCUGGAAUUUACAAACACAGCUUGCUCUUGCAUUAGAAACUGUACCCGCAAAAAUUCCCUUUAUUAAUCUCCCGCGUGUUUCCUUUUUUUUUCCUUUCCUUCUUUGCUUUCCCUCAAAGCUCCUUUUCUUUCCUUGCUCUGGUUGACGCCGACGUUCAUAGCCAACCUUAGCUGGGGAUGCUGAUCACUACUGCAUUGAUCAUUGACGUUGGCAUUUCACAUAAACCUCUCAUGAAAAGCUCAAUCGGUGCUGCAUUCUUGAUCUGCCAUUGGAUUGUGAGGUAGACACUCAAUCUUAGAGGAACAACCAGAGAUCACCGUUAGACAAUACUUUCCAUCUUGCCUUCGUUCAUCAGAACCUGAGUAAAGUACCCUGUGAGUAACUCAGAUCAUAAUGCAAGUCUACGCACGAGGGAUCGGGUGACUUCACCCACAAACAACAAUGCUUUUCUGUUAGAGAAUUGUCCUCGACAAGGAAGGAUGUCACGAAGGUUGAUGACAUGCCAAGUUGAACAAGUUUCAUGUGGCAUAAAAGUUUUGCAUGCAUCAACAUGUCACAUGCAAUACCACCCCUUUCAACUUCCAAGUGUUGCUGUAAUGUUUCAUUUGGCCACACAAACAACAGUAGAGCUUCCACAAAUUCUGGCCUAAUGGUCAGCAAGCAUCAUAGCAACAGAUGCCAGCCUUUUGGUUGAUGCUGAUGUUAGUGCUCAUCAAUUGGAAUGUUCCGGUCAAGUGCAUGUUCUCCUGCAAUGGAAGGGAAUGAGGAUAAGGAAUUGAUAAAAAACCAGGAAGUUCCAGAACACUUAAAUAAAGGGGUUUACGUUUAUAGGCAAGAUGUUGUAAGGUCCACUAAGAAAGAGGGACUGAUUUGCAUGGUCAUGGAAGUUGGGGGAGAACUAUUCUCAGAUAGCAGCAUUAGUGAUAUUGAGGAUGAUUUUGAGAGCAAUGAUUUGUUGAUAAGUGGUCAAGCUAAAGUCAUAUGGGCUAAAUCAUAAUGAGACAAAAGAUAACGCUGCUGAGAUUUUGGCUGCAGCUAUGGUGUUUAUGCAUGGCGAUGUUGUGGCAUCGACUUCUGAUCCAACUGGAUGGACAAGAACUUGGUGGAUGAGUAUUUUGUGGGCUGAAAAUGGGGAAAUAAUAAGACAUUUGUCUAGCGAAUUACUGCAUGUUAGCGAUUUCACCAUUGGUGAUUAUGAGCUUAAUGGCCAACAUUGGAUAUGCCAUGUUGAUGAAGUUCUAGAUAAUGUGACUGUGAUGUUCACUGAUGAGUCUGUUUGUAAGGUGAUUAAGGUGCAAGAUGCAUCAGUUUUUUUUUAUUGGAUUGUUUCAGCAAGCUGUACUGGUGGCUCUCUGCCUCUUUUUAUUGAUUAGCAAGAUACUAAGAAUUACAUAUCGCAUGUAUAAUGUAAAAAACAGGUUUGGUUACAGUUUGUAAUGCAAAACGCAUAAGCAAUACAGGAUCUGCGUUAGUAAUAACAAGAAAAGUUUGUUACUAAUUGUUAAUAGUCACACACAACUUUUUCGUAAAAGAAAGAUUCUGUAACGAGGCCUUUAGCAACACCAUUUGUAACACUUUGAGUGCAUUAGUCCGCACUUUUAGUAACGCAGCUAGUGCAUUAGUAAACGCUCUUUUUCUUGUAGUGAGAAUCAACCUCUCCACAAAGGCGAUGAGUAAUAUCUUAGAAGAAUUAAGUGACAAAUUUGGCAUUACUGUGUUGAAGUAACCCUCAAGCAAAGAUGGUUGAAUAAGGACUCCUAAGCAAUCAGGUUGUGAUUAAAAUCCAGGAUUUUCUCUCCAUUUUGGAGAAUAGGUGCCA
This is a long non-coding RNA of Nymphaea colorata (pocket water lily), 1992 nucleotides long. RefSeq lists it as uncharacterized. The transcript has 4 exons. The record is from RefSeq and is a predicted model, not a curated record. NCBI's taxonomy places the organism in Eukaryota, Viridiplantae, Streptophyta, Magnoliopsida, Nymphaeales, Nymphaeaceae.